Molecule: long non-coding RNA, 548 nt
Filed under: Panax ginseng (ginseng)
Lineage: Eukaryota; Viridiplantae; Streptophyta; Magnoliopsida; Apiales; Araliaceae
Description: long non-coding RNA (PGIN_LNC000456)
Source: RNAcentral
UUUUAUUGUUAUUUUUAUUCUUUAUUUAUUUAGUUGCAUAAUAUUUUGUUAAAUGAGUUUCAUGCUGCAGAUUGAGGAUUUGUGCUUCAACAUGGUCAUUGUGCAUGGGGACAGUGCAGUAAUCACAGCCGAGAUUCAAGCCGGGCCCUGACCAUCAGCGCCCCGGCGCUCAAGCACAACACAAAUCAAGCUCCCCGACGCUAAAGCUGGUCACUCACCCCUGAUGCCUAGCGCCCCGGCGCUGUACAUUAGUACAAUUCAAGCGCCCCGGCGCUGAGGAGUUUCUCACGACCCUGACAUACAGCGCCCCAGCGCUGUAGACAAGCUCCUUUCCAGCGCCCCGGCGCUAAGGCGUGUCGUGCAGCCCUGACUUACAGCGCCCCAACGCUCUGGACAUGCAUUAACUCAGUGCCUCGGUGCUGAUUUCCGUUUUCAAAUAUAACCGUCCAUGAUCAGGACUCUUCAUGCAACAUAACUCCUACACCUUUUGCACUUCUAUCACACAUAUACAUCUAUUUUAUUAGAUCCCUUCCACGCCUCAUUCUCUA